This 1688-nucleotide ribosomal RNA is filed under the name Salmonella enterica subsp. enterica serovar Heidelberg. Its description in RNAcentral is "bacterial LSU rRNA". It matches the Rfam family "Bacterial large subunit ribosomal RNA", at positions 1271 to 2925 of the family's 2925-position model. Lineage: Bacteria; Pseudomonadati; Pseudomonadota; Gammaproteobacteria; Enterobacterales; Enterobacteriaceae. RNAcentral also lists the same sequence under 9 other names. The record is from RNAcentral.
UGCUGGAGGUAUCAGAAGUGCGAAUGCUGACAUAAGUAACGAUAAAGCGGGUGAAAAGCCCGCUCGCCGGAAGACCAAGGGUUCCUGUCCAACGUUAAUCGGGGCAGGGUGAGUCGACCCCUAAGGCGAGGCCGAAAGGCGUAGUCGAUGGGAAACGGGUUAAUAUUCCCGUACUUGGUGUUACUGCGAAGGGGGGACGGAGAAGGCUAUGUUGGCCGGGCGACGGUUGUCCCGGUUUAAGCGUGUAGGUGUGUGUUCCAGGUAAAUCCGGUUCACUUUAACACUGAGGCGUGACGACGAGGCACUACGGUGCUGAAGCAACAAAUGCCCUGCUUCCAGGAAAAGCCUCUAAGCAUCAGGUAACAUCAAAUCGUACCCCAAACCGACACAGGUGGUCAGGUAGAGAAUACCAAGGCGCUUGAGAGAACUCGGGUGAAGGAACUAGGCAAAAUGGUGCCGUAACUUCGGGAGAAGGCACGCUGACACGUAGGUGAAGUGAUUUACUCAUGGAGCUGAAGUCAGUCGAAGAUACCAGCUGGCUGCAACUGUUUAUUAAAAACACAGCACUGUGCAAACACGAAAGUGGACGUAUACGGUGUGACGCCUGCCCGGUGCCGGAAGGUUAAUUGAUGGGGUCAGCGCAAGCGAAGCUCCUGAUCGAAGCCCCGGUAAACGGCGGCCGUAACUAUAACGGUCCUAAGGUAGCGAAAUUCCUUGUCGGGUAAGUUCCGACCUGCACGAAUGGCGUAAUGAUGGCCAGGCUGUCUCCACCCGAGACUCAGUGAAAUUGAACUCGCUGUGAAGAUGCAGUGUACCCGCGGCAAGACGGAAAGACCCCGUGAACCUUUACUAUAGCUUGACACUGAACAUUGAGCCUUGAUGUGUAGGAUAGGUGGGAGGCUUUGAAGUGUGGACGCCAGUCUGCAUGGAGCCGACCUUGAAAUACCACCCUUUAAUGUUUGAUGUUCUAACGUGGACCCGUAAUCCGGGUUGCGGACAGUGUCUGGUGGGUAGUUUGACUGGGGCGGUCUCCUCCUAAAGAGUAACGGAGGAGCACGAAGGUUGGCUAAUCCUGGUCGGACAUCAGGAGGUUAGUGCAAUGGCAUAAGCCAGCUUGACUGCGAGCGUGACGGCGCGAGCAGGUGCGAAAGCAGGUCAUAGUGAUCCGGUGGUUCUGAAUGGAAGGGCCAUCGCUCAACGGAUAAAAGGUACUCCGGGGAUAACAGGCUGAUACCGCCCAAGAGUUCAUAUCGACGGCGGUGUUUGGCACCUCGAUGUCGGCUCAUCACAUCCUGGGGCUGAAGUAGGUCCCAAGGGUAUGGCUGUUCGCCAUUUAAAGUGGUACGCGAGCUGGGUUUAGAACGUCGUGAGACAGUUCGGUCCCUAUCUGCCGUGGGCGCUGGAGAACUGAGGGGGGCUGCUCCUAGUACGAGAGGACCGGAGUGGACGCAUCACUGGUGUUCGGGUUGUCAUGCCAAUGGCACUGCCCGGUAGCUAAAUGCGGAAGAGAUAAGUGCUGAAAGCAUCUAAGCACGAAACUUGCCCCGAGAUGAGUUCUCCCUGAGACUUAGAGUCUCCUGAAGGAACGUUGAAGACGACGACGUUGAUAGGCCGGGUGUGUAAGCGCAGCGAUGCGUUGAGCUAACCGGUACUAAUGAACCGUGAGGCUUAACCUUACAACGCCGAAG